GCAGCCUCGGGGGCGCGCAGCAGCACGGCUGAGCCGGCGGCAGGAGGACGAGGAGGAGGAAGAAGGGAGGCAGCGAGGAAGGAAUGGAUGAAAAGACUAAGCAAAUAUAGGCUAAAGAGAACGAAAAGCACUUGGAUAAAGAAAUGGAGCUGGGUGCACAGAGGAAGAUAUGGGAGAAAGGGUUUGUCGGUGUGAUGCUGCAACCUUUGGCAAGUGUGAAGGAUGGGGAAAAGGUAGCGGUGGAGGGGAGGGGACCAGAGCAGGACAAGCCAUAGAUGUGUCUGAGAAACUGAGAAGUCGUUUUCUGAAAGUACAUGCAAAGAUAUGUAUAAAAAUACAUU
Molecule: long non-coding RNA, 341 nt
Organism: Cygnus olor (mute swan)
Lineage: Eukaryota; Metazoa; Chordata; Aves; Anseriformes; Anatidae
Exons: 3
Source: RefSeq, a predicted model, not a curated record